Molecule: ribosomal RNA, 459 nt
Filed under: uncultured bacterium
Lineage: Bacteria
Description: partial 16S ribosomal RNA
Rfam family: Bacterial small subunit ribosomal RNA
Source: RNAcentral
CCUACGGGUGGCAGCAGUGAGGAAUAUUGGUCAAUGGGCGGAAGCCUGAACCAGCCAAGUCGCGUGCGGGAUGAAGGCCCUACGGGUCGUAAACCGCUUUUGCACGGGGAUAACACCCUCCACUUGGUGAGGUCUGCAUGUGCCGUGCGAAUAAGGGCCGGCUAAUUCCGUGCCAGCAGCCGCGGUAGUACGGAAGGCCCGAGCGUUAUCCGGAUUCAUUGGGCGUAAAGGGAGCGUAGGCGGGCGUUCAAGUCAACAGUACAAUCGCGGGGCUCAACCUCGCCCCGCAGUUGAAACUGAACGCCUUGAGGUCACAACAGGCAGGCGGAAUUCGUGGUGUAGCGGUGAAAUGCAUAGAUAUCAGGAGGAACCCCGAUUGCGAAGGCAGCCUGCCGGGGUGCGACUGACGCUGAGGCUCGAAGGUGCGGGUAUCAAACAGGAUUAGAUACCCUUGUAGUC